Long non-coding RNA from Equus asinus (donkey), 5421 nucleotides. The record is from Ensembl. NCBI's taxonomy places the organism in Eukaryota, Metazoa, Chordata, Mammalia, Perissodactyla, Equidae.
GGGGGUCCUGCCGCGCUGGCACCCGGCUGUCAGCUGCUGCCUCUGCCAGGAACCUGUGGGUUUCGCUGAAUUUAAACACUGCAUUUUAGGACUGAGGGAGAGCUAUUUUAAGGUUGUUCCCUGAGCCAUAAAUUGCCUCCUUUUCCCCAGAACUGGGGAAAGUGCUGGUCCCACCAGCGUGGCCUCCUCUGAGCUGGAAAAAGCCUCACCUGCUGGAACCUUCUGAGGCUCAGCCGACUGGAAUGUGUGGGCGAAAUGUUCGUCUUUUGGGCAAGGUAGAAUGCUGAGUUUCUGACCUGCCUUGACUUUUACUAGUCUUGCUUUUAAGCAGGAUUUUUUUUAGGGAGUGAGGUCCGCAUCUUGUUAGAAAAAGAAAAUGAAAUCCACCAUUUGAGGGCCAUGCAUGGUGGUGCUCUUUUCCAGCGGGGACACCGAGGCUCAGAGAGGUGGCGUGAGGGUGCUAGCCUGGUCUGCCUGCCUCCUGAGGGUCCGCAGCAACCCACCUGUCGCGGGCAUUGAGGGUUUUGAGCCCCUCCCCGCAGGCACUUUGUGUGAGGGAAUCACAUCACAGCCGCUGCCUUUGGGUGGAGGGGCUGCUCCAGAACCCCCACCGCCUACCUCGUGAGCACUGCACUGCCCCGAAUGUCUCUGUUGGGAGGAGGUGCCUCUCCCUGGCAGGUUCCCCCUCAUCUUCCCCCUUCUUGGGGCCCUGGGUGGGUAACCAUGGCCACCAACCAUUGCACAAGUUGUUUUCAGAAAGUGAAAAUAGCUUGUGAGCAGCGCUGGUUUUAAAACACUCUCGCCCCGUUGCGACAGAGGCUGGGAUGUCCUCCCUCCCUCCCUUCGUCCUUCCUCCCUGACAGCAGCCCUGGAAACAGCUGAGAGAGUUUGGUAAUCCACAAAAAGCAGAAACGGGAGAUGACAAUCUGAUUCAUCUUUCUCGAGUAAAUAGCCUGGGUCCACUUCCGUUGGCAGUGAAGGGCGCGUGCGUGCGUGUGUGUGUGUGUGUGUAUGUGGGCGAGAGAGCCUCCUCUAACCUCUCUCUCCGCAGCUUUUGCAAAAACUGUCCCAGAGCGGAGCGGUGGCCCCUUGACCUGUGGAAACACCCCUCUUUGCUCAGAGCUGCACUGGGGUCCAAAGAAAGACUCAUGAGAGAUUUUAAAGAAUUUUUUGUCGGGUCUCCAGCCUUUGCUGUUGAGUUUGAACUGAUGGGUAAAGCCAUUUUUCUUGCUUGCUCAAAAACACCUCCCGGGUUUCCCCCAGAGGCCUCUGACCCAGCAAAAGCCAGCUGGAACGGGCCCGAAGCUGUUGAGUUUCUGUUUCCUGAAAGCGUCCAGUGACGGUGUAGAAAGUGUCCCGCUCCGACACAGCUGUAUGUCAGCGAGAGACAUGGGCCGGAGCUGGCGCCGGCUAACACAGACUCCCCGGUCACCCUUUCUUCCCCGACUGAAACCGACGUCCACUUGCAUCAAAUACCUUCUGGGGGUUUCUCAACCAGGGAGACCCAGUCUGGAAAGGGUUUUGGUUGUCACAACUAGGGAUGCUGUUGGCAUCUUGUGGGUUGGGGCCGGGAUGCUGCAAAAACAUUCUAGAAGGCACAGGGCAGCCCCACCACAGAGAAUGACCCUGCCCCAAACGUCAGCAGUGCUGAGGUGGAGAGACCUGCUCCCGUUCCUAGAAGAUCAUCAUCGAUUUUAUUAGCAGAGGUCUGGCCCAGGCAGCGGCCUUCCACGGCAGAUGCCACCAGAGAAAGGGCGUGUCAGCCCCCGUGCUGGGCCCCUCCCCAGAGCCCUGUGAGAAGACACAGAGCCUGAACACUUUUCCUUCCCGUAAACGAAGUUCUGGCGUCCAUUUUAGAAAAUGUUCAAUGUCAAGAAAGAAAAAAACUUCCCCUGCCUUCUACCACCCAAAUCCCAGUCAAAGGCUUCUGGAGCGAGGGAUUUCUGUGCCGUGGUUUAACUGCUUUCACACGGCUGCAAUUAUCAAUGUUUUAUUUGUAUUCUUUCCAGGCAAGGUCAUAACCAUUUUGCCAUAUUUUUUCCUCCAUGACAUGUUUUUAGUAUCAUUUUAAAUGGCUGCAUAGUAUUCCUUCUUUUUUUUUUGGUGGGAAGAUUAGCCCUGAGUUGACAUCUGAUCCCAAUCAGCCAACCUGGGCCACAGACGUGAGGCAGACAGAACUUUAACCACAUGGCCACAGGGCGGGCCCCAGUGUUCCAUUUAGAUGUGCCAGGAGUUGCUUAUGCAAAUAAGUGCUACACAUGUGUAUACACACACACACACUCACGCUUGGCCAGGUUUCAGGUUUCAGGGGCGGGGGAGUUAAAGAGUUGAAAGGGAUGAAUGUUUUGGGGUGCUUUGGGCAUCACCAAAAUGCUCUCCCCAGAGUGACUCAAGUGAUGGGGGAAGGAGACAGUGGCCGUUUUUCUGCCAGGAGUUUCCUGUGUGUCAGGGAGCGUGGCAUCCUGAGCACGGUGUGGUGUGAAGUGGGAGGGCGGGCUGUCGGAAGGGAAGGUAAGUCCCAGCGUGUGCCUGACUCAGCACCCUGCCCCGUCCGCAGAGCGCAGUUAGCACCCAGGCAGCCCCCAGGCAACAAGCCAGAGAUGCCGGGCUCCGCCGGCUGGCCCCACGCCAAGCUGGUGUGUGCCAGACAGGGCAUCUGGGCCUCAGCACUGUGACAGCCGGGGCCGCAUCGCUCUCUGGUGGGGCUGCCCUGGGCACUGAAGGGCGUGGAGCAGCAUCCCUGGUUGCGCUCACACAAUGCCGGCAGCACCCAUCUCGGUCCGAGCUGUGACAACCCAAAAUGUCUCCAGACAUUGCCAAGCGUCCCCUGGGGGCAGAAUCCCCCAGAUUGAGAACUGCUGGGUUAGCAGCUUCUGUGAACACCGAGGAGACUUUGCAUCCAUAACUAUCUGACCUGAGGGCCUAGGAGGCUGCAGACGUUUAAAUCCGCCUGCGGGCGGGAGAGAGCGGUGACUCACAGACAGAUGCUGGGGGACCACCCUGGUUGUACCAUCUCACCCAUCGGGAAUUUAUUCUGCUGUAUAGUGUGAGCUAGAACCUAAAUCAAAUUUUUUCUAAAUAAUUGAUGCAGGGUUUCUCCCCUUUGGCACUGCUGACACUUGGGGCCGGAUCGCUCUUUGCUGUGGGGCCGUCCCAUGUUCCAUAGGGUGCUCAGCAGCAUCCCUGGCCCCCAGCCACCAGGUGCCAGCAGCAUCCCCAGCCCUGCAGUUGUGAUCCCGAAGGUCUCCAGACGUCGCCCGGGGUCCCCUGGACACAGUGGGAGCCUCUGCUCCCCGGGUCUCCUCGUAGGGAGGGUGCGCCGUGGGACAGGACGGGGCUCAGGGCGGGAGUCUCCCCGAAAGGCUGGGGCGCUGGGAUUUCGUGCCCCCACCCAUCUCUCACUGUGUCUCUGUCUCUCUUUGUCUCUCUCUCAAUUUGUUUCUCCCUUCUCUCCCCCCUUGUCUCUCUCUGUCUCUCUGAUGUCUCUGUCUGUGCCUCUCUCCCCACCCCCUGAUUUGCUCUCCCUCUGUCUCUCUCCCUUCUCUCUGGCUGCCCGUCUUCCCUCACCUCUCUCUCCCCCCAACAGUUAUUCAUUCAGCAGAUGCUCCGAGCCGAGUGCUGGGGAAGCAAAAGUGACUCAGAAGUGACUCAGCCUCGAGCCUUUAGGAGCCGCUGUCAACAAAUGUUUGUUGAAUGACUAACCCAGUGCUAACUUGAACUGAGCUCAGGGCUGGGGGCAGGUGCUUGCAUCCCGGGCCCUUUCCACAGGUUCUCGCUUUCACCCUCCCCCCCAGCCAGGUGGCGAGGAGGGCCACCUCUGCUUUCCAGAGGCGCAAAACGGGCUCACGGAGGGGAAGGCCAGCCCGGAGCCCGCUGCACGGCAGGUGGUGGGGCCACGGCUUGCACCCAGGUGGGCCCAGUCCUGGCGUCACAGUGCCUGGAGACGGCCAUGUGCCCAACCGCAUGGCGAUCACCGCGUGGUCCUCAGCUCGCCCAACAAACUAGACGUGAAGUUAUCACGUGACCCAGCCAUGCCGCUCCUUGGUGUAGACCCCAAAGGGUUAAAAACAAGGACUCAGACAGCCGCUUGUAGGCCAGGCCCAUGGCUGGACUCACAGCCGCCAAAAGGCCAGAACAAGCCAGACGCCCACCAAGAGACCGCAGAAUGUGGUCCAUUGCACAGCGGCCAGUCCUCGGCCCUGAAGACCGGGAUGGAGCUCGAAAAUGUUAUCCUCAGGAAAAGAAGUCAGACACCAAGACCAUACGCUGCCCAGCCGCUGACAGGAGGGGCCUGGCGCAGGCACAGCUUCGGGGACAGACAGCUGCCGGAGGGCGCCAGGGCCCGGCGGGGCGGGGGGCAGGGUUCAAUGGCACAGAGUCUCUGCUCAACGUGAUGCACGGUGUCAGAAACAGGUAGUGAGGAUGGCUGCACGACAGUGUGAAUGGAACUAAUAGCACAGAAUCAAAUGCUUAAAAAUGUCUAAAAUGGUAAAUUGUGUAUUCUGGAUAUUUUACCACAGUUUGAAAAAGAGGCUUGGGAGUCUCCACAGUGAGAGCCAGGGCGGGGGGUUUCUGUGAGUCAGACCCUCACAGGCAUCGGGCCCACUUUGCAGGUGGGAAGAUGGAGGCAAGGCCGUGUCCAUGGGACGGAACCCUCAUCUGCUGGAGAGGAAAGUUCUUCCCCACUGGAUGCUUCUGCCACUGGCCGUCACUGGGUCUCUCUGGGCCUCAGGUUCCCCAUCUGAACACAAGGGCAGUGGACCCGCUGGCUCCUCCACACGGCCCCAUACUGGGGACAAUGUUGUCUCCCCCAUAAUAUCAGAUAGCGUCUGCUCGCAGCUCCCCAUUCAUUCCAGAAUAAACCCAAAGACUUCAUUGUGGCCUGUGGCGCCCACCUCCUCCUGCACCCUUCUCCUCUCACUCCUCUGUGCUCACUAAGCCACACUGGCCUCCUUGCUGUUCACCAAGCAUGCCUUUCAGUCCUGCCCCAGGGCCUUUGCACUUGUUGUUCCCUGAGCCUAGAAUGCUAUUCCCUGCCUUCUUCCCAUAGCCACUGGUAGCAGCCAGGCUGAGCUGUACUGGGGGUGUCUCUGCAGCCUUGAAGCCAGAAACCAGAUCCUUUGGUGAGGGCAAGAGACUGCCAGACAAGGGGCCAGAACCCCAGGUGGCCCUAGGCAGGAAGAGGGUGGAAGAAGCUGGCUUUGGAGUCUCAAAUCCCAGCCGCCUGCUCCCCGCAGGUGAGUGGUGCCCUCACUGACGCUCGGCACAUCAUUCCUACCAGAGGCCACGGUCGGGGAAAGCCCGGCAGAGGCGCCGUCUCCCCAGACUGAGGCGCAGCGGUGUUCCCAGAGUCGUCCGCCGGCGCCAGGACUCCCACUCUGCAGGGUGGGUUCCCCCCAGCUGUGUGGGCCCAGAAGCCCG